GAUGAACGCUGGCGGCGUGCCUAAUACAUGCAAGUCGAGCGAACAGACGAGGAGCUUGCUCCUCUGACGUUAGCGGCGGACGGGUGAGUAACACGUGGAUAACCUACCUAUAAGACUGGGAUAACUUCGGGAAACCGGAGCUAAUACCGGAUAAUAUAUUGAACCGCAUGGUUCAAUAGUGAAAGACGGUUUUGCUGUCACUUAUAGAUGGAUCCGCGCCGCAUUAGCUAGUUGGUAAGGUAACGGCUUACCAAGGCAACGAUGCGUAGCCGACCUGAGAGGGUGGUCGGCCACACUGGAACUGAGACACGGUCCAGACUCCUACGGGAGGCAGCAGUAGGGAAUCUUCCGCAAUGGGCGAAAGCCUGACGGAGCAACGCCGCGUGAGUGAUGAAGGUCUUCGGAUCGUAAAACUCUGUUAUUAGGGAAGAACAAAUGUGUAAGUAACUAUGCACGUCUUGACGGUACCUAAUCAGAAAGCCACGGCUAACUACG
RNAcentral lists this ribosomal RNA (495 nucleotides) under uncultured bacterium. RNAcentral's name for it is "partial 16S ribosomal RNA". It matches the Rfam family "Bacterial small subunit ribosomal RNA", at positions 28 to 505 of the family's 1533-position model. The record is from RNAcentral.